UGUUGUCCUGGGGUAAGCAUGUAGGGCGGAACGUAGGUAAAUCCGCGUUCUAUUCAGCCUGAGAUGUGAUGCCGAGCCGAUUGUGGUGAAGUGGAUGAUCCUAUGCUGCCGAGAAAAGCCUCUAGUGAGUGUUGUGGCGGCCCGUACCCUAAACCGACUCAGGUGGUCAGGUAGAGAAUACCAAGGCGAUCGGGUGAACUGUGGUUAAGGAACUCGGCAAAUUGCCCCCGUAACUUCGGGAGAAGGGGGACCUCUGCUGGUGAUGGGCUUUACGUUCUGAGCUGGUGGGGGUCGCAGUGGCCAGGGGGAAGCGACUGUUUACUAAAAACACAGGUCCGUGCGAAGUCGUAAGACGAUGUAUACGGACUGACGCCUGCCCGGUGCCGGAACGUUAAGGGGACCGCUUAGCCAACGCGAGUUGGCGAAGGUGAGAACUUAAGCGCCGGUAAACGGCGGUGGUAACUAUAACCAUCCUAAGGUAGCGAAAUUCCUUGUCGGGUAAGUUCCGACCUGCACGAAUGGCGUAACGACUUCCCCGCUGUCUCAACCACAGACCCGGCGAAAUUGCACUACGAGUAAAGAUGCUCGUUUCGCGCAGCAGGACGGAAAGACCCCGGGACCUUCACUACAGCUUGACAUUGGCGUUUGGAACGUCUUGUGUAGGAUAGGUGGGAGACUGGGAAGCUGUCACGCUAGUGAUGGUGGAGUCAUUGGUGAAAUACCACUCUGGUCGUUUUGAACGUCUAACUCUGGUCCGUGAUCCGGAUCGGGGACAGUGUCUGGUGGGUAGUUUAACUGGGGCGGUUGCCUCCUAAAGAGUAACGGAGGCGCCCAAAGGUUCCCUCAGCCUGGUUGGCAAUCAGGUGUUGAGUGUAAGUGCACAAGGGAGCUUGACUGUGAGACUGACAGGUCGAGCAGGAGCGAAAGCUGGGACUAGUGAUCCGGCAUCGGCGUGUGGAAGCGGUGUCGCUCAACGGCUAAAAGGUACCCCGGGGAUAACAGGCUGAUCUUCCCCAAGAGUCCAUAUCGACGGGAUGGUUUGGCACCUCGAUGUCGGCUCGUCGCAUCCUGGGGCUGGAGUAAGUCCCAAGGGUUGGGCUGUUCGCCCAUUAAAGCGGUACGCGAGCUGGGUUUAGAACGUCGCGAGACAGUUCGGUCCCUAUCCGCUGCGCGCGCAGGAGACUUGAAGGGGGCUGUCCCUAGUACGAGAGGACCGGGACGGACGAACCUCUGGUGUGCCAGUUGUACCGCCAGGUGCACGGCUGGUUGGCUACGUUCGGAAGGGAUAACCGCUGAAAGCAUCUAAGCGGGAAGCUCGCCUUGAGAUGAGGUCUCCCACCCCGUGAGGGGGUAAGGCUCCCGGUAGAUCACCGGGUUGAUAGGCCGGAGGUGGAAGCACGGUAACGUGUGGAGCUGACCGGUACUAAUAGGCCGAGGACUUGACCUC
This 1447-nucleotide ribosomal RNA is filed under the name metagenome. RNAcentral describes it as "bacterial LSU rRNA". It matches the Rfam family "Bacterial large subunit ribosomal RNA", at positions 1500 to 2925 of the family's 2925-position model. The record is from RNAcentral.